UACGUAGGCAGCAAGCGUUGUUCGGAGUUACUGGGCGUAAAGGGUGUGUAGGCGGUUCUUUAAGUUUGCUGUGAAAUCUCCCGGCUUAACCGGGAGGGUGCGGUGAAUACUGAGGGACUAGAGUACGGGAGAGGAAAGUGGAAUUCCUGGUGUAGCGGUGAAAUGCGUAGAUAUCUGAAGGAACACCAGUGGCGAAAGCGGCUUCCUGGUCCAGUACCGACGUUCAGGCACGAAAGCGUGGGGAGCAAACAGG
This 253-nucleotide ribosomal RNA is filed under the name uncultured bacterium. RNAcentral's name for it is "partial 16S ribosomal RNA". It matches the Rfam family "Bacterial small subunit ribosomal RNA", at positions 524 to 776 of the family's 1533-position model. The record is from RNAcentral.